UUUCCGUGUUGAUAUAGUCAUAUCAACACGAGUGGAAUUGGGAAAACGAGAAAUUGUAUGGAAACAAGACGCCCGAAGGGCGAAGUGUUUUCAUAUAAUUUCGAGUUUUCCCAACUUCCACGAGUGUUGAUAUAACUAUAUAUCAAUAUGGAAA
This is a non-coding RNA of Paramuricea clavata, 154 nucleotides long. Lineage: Eukaryota; Metazoa; Cnidaria; Anthozoa; Malacalcyonacea; Plexauridae. The record is from the annotation of a GenBank genome assembly.